Molecule: ribosomal RNA, 253 nt
Filed under: uncultured bacterium
Lineage: Bacteria
Description: partial 16S ribosomal RNA
Rfam family: Bacterial small subunit ribosomal RNA
Source: RNAcentral
UACGUAGGGAGCAAGCGUUAUCCGGAAUGAUUGGGCGUAAAGCGUCCGCAGGUGGCAGUUCAAGUCUGCUGUCAAAGACCGGGGCUUAACUUCGGAAAGGCAGUGGAAACUGAAGUGCUAGAGUGCAGUAGGGGUAGAGGGAAUUCCCGGUGUAGCGGUGAAAUGCGUAGAGAUCGGGAAGAACAUCGGUGGCGAAAGCGCUCUGCUGGACUGCAACUGACACUCAGGGACGAAAGCUAGGGGAGCGAAUGGG